UUAGCAGCGUACUGUAGAGAGAGUUUUCCCCUUCGGGGGCAAAAUGACAGAGUGGUGCAUGGUUGUCGUCAGCUCGUGUCGUGAGAUGUUGGGUUAAGUCCCGCAACGAGCGCAACCCUUAUGACUAGUUGCCAGCAUUUAGUUGGGCACUCUAGUAAGACUGCCGGUGACAAACCGGAGGAAGGUGGGGAUGACGUCAAAUCAUCAUGCCCCUUAUGACCUGGGCUACACACGUGCUACAAUGGAUGGUACAACGAGUUGCGAGACCGCGAGGUCAAGCUAAUCUCUUAAAGCCAUUCUCAGUUCGGACUGUAGGCUGCAACUCGCCUACACGAAGUCGGAAUCGCUAGUAAUCGCGGAUCAGCACGCCGCGGUGAAUACGUUCCCGGGUCUUGUACACACCGA
RNAcentral lists this ribosomal RNA (405 nucleotides) under Lactobacillus helveticus. Its description in RNAcentral is "bacterial SSU rRNA". It matches the Rfam family "Bacterial small subunit ribosomal RNA", at positions 990 to 1393 of the family's 1533-position model. Lineage: Bacteria; Bacillati; Bacillota; Bacilli; Lactobacillales; Lactobacillaceae. The record is from RNAcentral.